Molecule: ribosomal RNA, 685 nt
Filed under: Pseudonocardia sp. YIM 64819
Lineage: Bacteria; Bacillati; Actinomycetota; Actinomycetes; Pseudonocardiales; Pseudonocardiaceae
Description: bacterial SSU rRNA
Rfam family: Bacterial small subunit ribosomal RNA
Source: RNAcentral
CGGGGGUACACGAGCGGCGAACGGGUGAGUAACACGUGGGUGACCUGCCCUCAGCUCUGGGAUAAGCCUGGGAAACCGGGUCUAAUACCGGAUAUGACCUCCUGUCGCAUGGCGGGUGGUGGAAAGUUUUUUCGGCUGAGGAUGGGCCCGCGGCCUAUCAGCUUGUUGGUGGGGUGAUGGCCUACCAAGGCGACGACGGGUAGCCGGCCUGAGAGGGCGACCGGCCACACUGGGACUGAGACACGGCCCAGACUCCUACGGGAGGCAGCAGUGGGGAAUAUUGCGCAAUGGGCGGAAGCCUGACGCAGCGACGCCGCGUGGGGGAUGACGGCCUUCGGGUUGUAAACCUCUUUCGCCAUCGACGAAGCCCUUCGGGGUGACGGUAGGUGGAGAAGAAGCACCGGCCAACUACGUGCCAGCAGCCGCGGUAAUACGUAGGGUGCGAGCGUUGUCCGGAAUUAUUGGGCGUAAAGAGCUCGUAGGCGGUGUGUCGCGUCGGUCGUGAAAACUUGGGGCUUAACCCUGAGCUUGCGGUCGAUACGGGCAUCACUUGAGUUCGGCAGGGGAGACUGGAAUUCCUGGUGUAGCGGUGAAAUGCGCAGAUAUCAGGAGGAACACCGGUGGCGAAGGCGGGUCUCUGGGCCGAUACUGACGCUGAGGAGCGAAAGCGUGGGGAGCGAACAGG